This 495-nucleotide ribosomal RNA is filed under the name uncultured bacterium. Its description in RNAcentral is "partial 16S ribosomal RNA". It matches the Rfam family "Bacterial small subunit ribosomal RNA", at positions 28 to 507 of the family's 1533-position model. The record is from RNAcentral.
GACGAACGCUGGCGGCGUGCCUAAUACAUGCAAGUAGAACGCUGAAGGAGGAGCUUGCUUCUCUGGAUGAGUUGCGAACGGGUGAGUAACGCGUAGGUAACCUGCCUGGUAGCGGGGGAUAACUAUUGGAAACGAUAGCUAAUACCGCAUAAUAGUAGAUGUUGCAUGACAUUUGCUUAAAAGGUGCAAUUGCAUCACUACCAGAUGGACCUGCGUUGUAUUAGCUAGUUGGUGGGGUAACGGCUCACCAAGGCGACGCUACAUAGUCGACCUGAGAGGGUGAUUGGCCACCUUGGGAGUUGGACACUGCUCAUACUACUACGGGAGGGAGCAGUAGGGAAUGUUAGGCAAUGGACGGAAGUCUGACCGAGAAACGCCGCGUGAGUGAAGAAGAUUUUCAGAUCGUAAAGAUAUGUUGAAGGAGAAGAAAGAGGGUGAGAGUGCAAAGUUCACAGUGGGACGGUAUCUUACAAGAAAGGGACGGCUAACUACGUG